AGUGAACGCUGGCGGUAGGCCUAACACAUGCAAGUCGAACGGCAGCACAGUAAGAGCUUGCUCUUACGGGUGGCGAGUGGCGGACGGGUGAGGAAUACAUCGGAAUCUACUUUUUCGGGGGGGAUAACGUAGGGGAACUUACGCUAAUACCGCAUACGACCUACGGGUGAAAGCAGGGGAUCUUCGGACCUUGCGCGAAUGAAUGAGCCGAUGGCGGAUUAGCUAGUUGGCGGGGUAAAGGCCCACCAAGGCGACGAUCCGUAGCUGGUCUGAGAGGAUGAUCAGCCACACUGGAACUGAGACACGGUCCAGACUCCUACGGGAGGCAGCAGUGGGGAAUAUUGGACAAUGGGCGCAAGCCUGAUCCAGCCAUACCGCGUGGGUGAAGAAGGCCUUCGGGUUGUAAAGCCCUUUUGUUGGGAAAGAAAAGCAGCAGGUUAAUACCCCGCUGUUCUGACGGUACCCAAAGAAUAAGCACCGGCUAACUUCGUG
RNAcentral lists this ribosomal RNA (492 nucleotides) under uncultured bacterium. Its description in RNAcentral is "partial 16S ribosomal RNA". It matches the Rfam family "Bacterial small subunit ribosomal RNA", at positions 29 to 507 of the family's 1533-position model. The record is from RNAcentral.